GAAAUAUGUCAGCCUCGCUGCUGCUUCCAAAAAGCCAGACAGUGGGAGAAAGAGGGAUAGUCAAGUUAAGGGUUAGAGGUCACUUUCUUUUUUUCUUUUAAAUUAAAGACGCAGAAUGAGCGAGUGAAACCAGAAGCCCUCACAAAUUGUUCAUCAUCCUUUGAGUCAGCCCCGUGCCUUUUUCUUUGUUUACAAAGUGAAUUUUGGUGGCAGGUUCAGUCAAAUGGCUUAGCAAAAACGGAUGGCUUUGGUCAAAAGGUUCAACUUCAAAGAAAGAGACUUUCCAGGGACAGGAAGAAUUCCAAACCGAUCUGAGAAUAUCCACGCUGGCUGCGCUCUCGUGCCGGGGAGGUGUUUUCCCUCGCGUUUUCUGUGUUGCCGCGCCUCCAUUUUUGGCUGUCAGAUCACCAGGAAAAAAAAAAUCAAUAAAAGCAACUGCGGGGCGCAGUGGACUGUGGACUUCCCCGUCUGAGACGCAGGGCUCGCGGGGUGCAGGGAGAGCAGGAGAGCAGCGCUCCAACCCAAGCUGGGAGAGCCAUGGAGACCCCCAAGCAGCAAGCCAGCCCAGCGUGGUAGCUCUCUUCUGGGUUUCGUUUUCAUUAUGUAUUUCCUACGGUGAACUGAGAGCUGAAUUGGGCCUAAAUAACAAAACAGAGGAUUGCGGCUCACACACCCUGGCCAAUACCAGACUGAGAGGGAGAAUAAAAGAUAUUUCUCACUAAUCUGCACUUUGAAUCCUCUUCUAUUCUCAUAACAGAUUGUGGCAGGCCAUAUGUGGAACUUCCAGUGACCAUUGCAGAGAAUCCCAGGAAAGAUGAAUGGAUGAUGUGGAAGAGAAAGCUGCACCCCAGCGGCAAACCUGCAACACAGCUCAGAAGGCGCAAGUGGGCUCUUAAAGGGCCAGCUGAGCCCCAGUGCCGUGCCAGGGCAGGCAGGGAAAACUGUGUCCACUGCCUUCUCCAGUGGCGUUGCUCAGAUGCAAAAAGGUAUGUUUUCAGAAAUUAAAUUAAGGUGCAGGGCCCCAACUGUCCUUAUUGGAAAGAUGCAAAUGCCCAUUUCCUCCAAGCUGAACUGCUCCCAUUUGAGUGCAGCCGUUCUGACAUGUCAGUCUACGAGGGCACAGUGGAAGUUUGAGGACCAAGAAGCCCUUCUGUGUCUAUCCACAAGCAUUCCUAGAGAAGCAGAAAGAAUUAAGGAAUUCUGAGAUCUGGGACUUGCCCUGGCUCUGCUCUUAAUUGGAUCCGGAGAUUGCCACUUUAUUUCUCAUGUUUAUACUCAACUGAUAACAAGGGACAAUAUGUCUGGCACAGCUGGAGUGGAGGGGAUUCCACCAGAGACAGGGAUGGGAAAGGUCAUGCAGAACUUGCAAAAUUCCAAUCACUCAGGAAUUGUGGCGAGGUGGAGGAGAGAAUGACAGCUUCAUGGGGCAAUUAGCUUCUCCAUUUCUUCUGUGGCUUCUGUGCUUUUAAAUUUAUAUGUAUUUUAACCAGCCUGCGUAAAUAGAUAUGCCCGUUUUUAUGAGAAGCUGCCUCAGAUCCCUUUGAAAAUAGGGAGCAUGUAAAGUAAAAUCCAAUAAAUAAUUUUUCAGUGGAAUACUAGCUGCAGUGAGUGAUGCAGGAGGUGCACCUUUGCGCAUCACUAAGCCUGGGGCCACCUUGAAAUAGUGAUGUUUCCAGAAGCAGGAAGCUUUCUGGUCCACAACCCCCUGCACCCCGGAUACUUCUGAACAGCAGCCUUGGGGCAUGUCCCACAGGGCUGAGGACAUCCUGCCUGUCCUUGCCUCUACAGCACAGCCCCCGAGUCCCCCAGAGCAGUCUCACUCUGCCCCUGCUCACCCCACUUCCUGGACCACUCCACCAUUUCCACCAUUUCCCAGACCCUUUAAAGAAUCAGCUCCUCCUUGGCUCAAGAUCAGUGCUUAACAACUGAAUGAAAGAGAAAAUCCUAUAGUGUUUUGGAAGAAAAGAACAGACUGUAGAAAGAUCUUUAUCAUCUUGAUAAACUUCUGAGUCAAGGUGUGACAAGCCUGAUUAACUGAUUAAAUGGAUUCCGUGUGCUUGAUUUGCUUCCUUGCCUCCUUCCCAGUCUUCUCCUUCAAUUCCUGUCCUUAGAACCAAGAUCAGUCAUCUUCUACAGAGAACCCUUCAGGUUCCCCAUCUAGGAUGCACCCUCUGAUUCUCUUUCACUUCCCUCUGUAUACAUGCUCCUUCUAUCCAGAAUGAGCAAUUCCUUUGCUGUCUUACCUGAGCUGGUCUCCUCUUGGGUUUGCUUUGAGACCUGGCACAGAUUAGGCUUUCAAUAAAUGAAAUGUAUGAAAAAAACUGCAGACACCCUCUUUGAAGACCUCCUUGCAUUCGGGAUGCCACUGACUGUACUCUAUAGGGUAUGAUGAAGCUGAUCUUACAAAUGUGUUCAAUGUCAAAGAUUCUACCUUCAGACCUGGAAAGAGUUGGGGAAAUUAGCAGGAAGAGAGGAUUGGAAAAGGCACUUCUCUUGGGAAAGGGCAAGGCAAAAAGUCCUCAUCAGCUGAAGGUGAGAACAAGGAAUUUGGAGUGAUGGUGGCUGUUGAGACUGGAGAAUGGCAGAAGUAGAUCCCCCAGAUCAAACACCAACCAAAGAGACUCUUCAAAUACAAAUAAAUAUCUAACGUCAUUGUCUUUAGGGUGUUUGAGCUUGUAUAGUGCAUUUCUACUCUGGGACCAGGCCCUGAGACUGGGGGUAGCAGUGGAGAAGAUGCAUAGAAAAGGAAGUGAGUCUCCUCAGAAGUUUCCUGGAGCCCUUGACGCAUGCCUUGCAGACUGCAGUAGAAAUGCCUAGUUCUAGAUCAUCCCAGUGGAGAGUAAUCUACAAGGGGACCACCAACUUCAUCCCCAGCUUCUAGGCAGGUGCAAAGUCACUGUCUUAAGAAACUUCAGGGACAAGAGUACAACAUGUAUCCCAGGUCCUGCAAUCUAUUGUUUGAGACACACACACACAUACACCCAAAAUUGUGGAGAAGAUGGAAGGCUGUGACAUAGACUGGUCCAUCAAAAAGUCCACAAUUUCUCCCUCUCAUCCUCCCUCCCACAGAUCUGACCUACUGAAUACUGUGUAUCAGGCACUGUGCUUAGUGGUCAGCCAAAAAGCAAAAUCUGUGAUAUUGUCCUGACCCUCAAGGAACUUACAGCAAUGCACAGUGAAAGAUUUUGGAGUCGCCCCAGGUCAUGAGGGCAGGUUGGAGCUGCAGUUGGCAUGACAUCUGGAUCCCAGUAGUAAAGACACAUACCAAUCAAAUGAUCAAAUGACUAAAGGUAAAAGAACAACUAUGACAGCUGCUAGAAAGGAAAAAAAAGGCACUUGGUAGAGGACAACAGAUAUUAGGAUGUUGCCUGACCAAGGCUCAGCGAUGGGGAGGUCAGAGUAAGACUUAACAUUUUCAUAUAACAGAGAAAAAAUAUUUUAAAGCAAAAAUGCCUAAAGCCUUUUUCACCUUCUAAGGAUGUGUGUGCAUAGGAGGUUGGGGGAACAGGGUGGCCCCAGGUCAUGUGCUUUGGGUUGGGGUUGACAUUGACCUGACAUCUGGUUUGCAUUAAGGCCAAGGACGGGAGAUGGAGAACCUCCCUAUUUUGUUAUUUGGUAUGAAGUCUCACUGGAUUUUAAAGGGAAAAAUCAGAAUUCUGGGGUUGUCUUCAACAAAACCUUUCAUUAAAUCUGAGUACGUUCAGUAACCGGCGCUAAUGGCUACAAAGUGUGGACAAGUGGAUGUCCUGCUGAAGCUGCUUUCCUAAAGGGUUGAGGACCACUUGUGACUGGUGCAGGGAAUGCCGGCGUCCCGAGGGGUGGGUCAGAGACCCUUGAAAGCUGCUUGUCUUAAAAGGUUCUAAAAAGGGUGUCCCACAGAGUCUGUUCACAGAACCCAUCAGCUCAGCAAAUCCUUUGUUCGCAGGCAGAGCAAGGUGGAGACUAUCUGGUUCUUAUCUGAAUGUCCAUGUAUUUCAAAUUAUUUAAGAGCAAAUGAACAAAGUCUCAUUGUUUCAGGAAUUCUGUGGCUCCCAAAUCGACUUGGUUGAUCUGCUAUGGGCAAGAGCUGGGGAUGCGCCUUGCUAUAGUGUCUUUAGGGCUCUGAUGCGUGGUUGUUGCUCCUUAUUGUCCCCCAUGGGGCUCAGAGAUUGAGUCCGUCAUUUGAAAGGGGAGCCAAGGACCUGUGUCCUCGAGAACUGGAAGAAUGACUCAGUGUGAGCAUUUAUACAGGACCUUUUAGCCGUGGCACCAUCCACCUUCAGGGCGGGGUAAUCCUUUGUUGUGCGGUCCACCCUGUGUCCUGUCUAGGAUGCUGAGCAGCAUCUCUGGGCUCCACCCCCAGAUGCCAGAAGCCCUCCUCCCCCAGUCCUGGUCCCUGAAAUAUCUCUGGACAUUGCCAAAUGGCCCCUGGGGGGCCAGAGAAACCUGGCGGGGGGCGGAGAAAACCCUGCACUUGUGGUCCCUACCUGCUCUCCUCGUAAUUUCAAUUCCAGCGAGUACUUUUCUGCUUCCUUCUUUUCUAAGAACUAUAUUUCCGAGGUCCCAAGUGACACAUUCAACUCAUUAAGGCUUCUUAAUUCCCGCAUGAAUUAUUGCUGGAAGGGUCUGGAGGCCCAGUAUCUCGCCUUAUUACACCUGUAGUUAUGGGCACUAACUAUGGCCUUUAUUACAACAUUCAGCAUCAGCCAUUAAAUUCAAGGCAUGAAAAUGAUUAUUUCACCCCCAAAUCCACUUACCACUGGCACAUUUCCAUGCAUGUUCUCAUACCCCCCUGAGCUGCAGGAGCUCUCCCGUCACAGGCUAAGCCCUCUGUGUGGUGACACCCUAUUUACUGAGACUGCAUGUCAAUCAGCCUUCAUUUCUCUUAGAGUCCAAUUUCAGGAUUUUCUUAGGUGUUGGCUUCAGCUAAGAUUUCAAUAAAUAAAGCAAAAGCUAGUGCUGUCACUCUCUCCCUUUCCACCCAAAGAUCUUCCUUUUCCUGAUAGAAACGCAGUAGGGCUAAAACCUUGCUUGUU
This is a long non-coding RNA of Dasypus novemcinctus (nine-banded armadillo), 5015 nucleotides long. The record is from Ensembl. NCBI's taxonomy places the organism in Eukaryota, Metazoa, Chordata, Mammalia, Cingulata, Dasypodidae.